AUGCUUGCUUUGAUAGCACCCAUACUAAAAUUGGAAUGAUGCCGAGAAGGUUAGCAGGGACCCUGAACAAGGGUGACAUGCAAAUUCUCACAAUGUUCCAUAUUUUA
This 107-nucleotide small nuclear RNA is filed under the name Castor canadensis (American beaver). The record is from RNAcentral. Lineage: Eukaryota; Metazoa; Chordata; Mammalia; Rodentia; Castoridae.